RNAcentral lists this ribosomal RNA (501 nucleotides) under uncultured bacterium. RNAcentral describes it as "partial 16S ribosomal RNA". It matches the Rfam family "Bacterial small subunit ribosomal RNA", at positions 28 to 507 of the family's 1533-position model. The record is from RNAcentral.
GACGAACGCUGGCGGCGUGCCUAAUACAUGCAAGUCGAACGAACCGCGACUAGGUGCUUGCACUUGGUCAAGGUGAGUGGCGAACGGGUGAGUAACACGUGGGUAACCUACCUCAUAGUGGGGGAUAACAGUCGGAAACGACUGCUAAUACCGCAUAGGACAUAGGCUCACAUGAUCCAGUGAGGAAAGGUGGCGCAAGCUAUCGCUAAGAGAUGGACCCGCGGUGCAUUAGCUAGUUGGUAGGGUAAAGGCCUACCAAGGCGAUGAUGCAUAGCCGACCUGAGAGGGGGAUCGGCCACAUUGGGACUGAGACACGGCCCAAACUCCUACGGGAGCAGCAGUGGGGAAUCUUCCGCAAUGGACGCAAGUCUGACGGAGCAACGCCGCGUGAGUGAAGAAGGUCUUCGGAUCGUAAAGCUCUGUUGUUAGAGAAGAACAGCGCAUAGAGUAACUGUUAUGCGUGUGACGGUAUCUAACCAGAAAGCCACGGCUAACUACGUG